Molecule: small nuclear RNA, 18 nt
Filed under: Arabidopsis thaliana (thale cress)
Lineage: Eukaryota; Viridiplantae; Streptophyta; Magnoliopsida; Brassicales; Brassicaceae
Description: snRNA_02543
Source: RNAcentral
UCGCUUCGGCGGGUCGAU